GCCGAUCUGUCACGUGCUGGCCUUUUCCAGAGACCACUGUCUUUUCUUCAUACUCCAAUAAACUAGUAAAUAAGUUCAUUAAUGUUUUUAUUCUGGAGUUCGACCACGGAUUCCAUUCCAACUGGAUUUUCAAGAAGGUUUUACCCGUUGACAACUAACCUUAGUUAAUAUUACGCGUGGUUUCUUUCGUAUAAUUGGAAUGGUGGUGGGGUAAUCUGUG
RNAcentral lists this long non-coding RNA (220 nucleotides) under Setaria italica (foxtail millet). RNAcentral describes it as "long non-coding RNA (SITA_LNC004596)". The record is from RNAcentral. Lineage: Eukaryota; Viridiplantae; Streptophyta; Magnoliopsida; Poales; Poaceae.